GGCAGGGGGCGAGUGUGGAAGAGAUGAAACACGAGGUUGCAAACCAGGAUAGCGUGCUACCUGGACCCCCAGCAGCCCGCGGUAGACCCCAAGAAUGAGCAGUGUUGGUAUGGAUGAGUUUGUGGAGGGCAUUUCAACAAAUGAAAUUCAAAGCACGCAGGUGGGACAAGCAGAUGCAUCUGAUUCUGCUCGGCAUCGACCCAGCAAGCUGCACGAUUUCCUUAAAAAGAAUCUGCAUUCCCUGGGUGUAAGCUAUCUUUAGUCCUGUAGAUAUUUGGGGGUAGCUCAGAUCAUGAUUGGCCUGAAAUGCUUCUUGUUUGGAAUCAUUGAGAUUUUUUUUUACUGGCACUCUAAUCACAGAGGUCUCUUAUUCUGCUUUUAUAUUGGCUACCCAUUCUGGGGUGCAGCAUCUUUCAUCAUAUCUGGAUCUUUGACCAUCUCAUGUAUGAAAAAACAAACAAAAUUUCUGAUUGGAGUCAGUAUGGGAGCUCACAUUAUCAGCACGCUACUUUCAAGCACUGGGCUAAUUCUUCUCUUCGUGAAUCUAAUUGAUGUAUUCUUAUUUGAAUGCUCAGAGUUACGUGAGUGUUCAUUGGUUAAAUCUUUUAUAACCAGUAUUGUGAUCCUUCAAAUGAUAGUGACUUGUGCGCAGAUCUUCAUUUCCUUCUCACUCUGUGGGCUCACUUACACCAUGAAUGGCAGUGAGAUGAGCCUGGUUUCUGCACUGAGUUGCUUGAUCAGAACACAUUCUGAAGAUCCUUAUCAAGACUUAUUGACUCAACCUCAAACUUAUGAAGACUUAGUGCUGCAAGAUAUAGAUCCUGUUCACUCUGAUCCAUGAGACACCGUCAUAACAUUCUUUACCACACGAAUGCAUCUUGGAUCCACGAUAUCAAUCAAAGACAGAUUUUUUUUUAUAGGAAUCUCCUACAAAUACCGUCCUCCCUAUGUUUUCAUUAUGCAAUUUCACACACACACACACACACACACACACA
Molecule: long non-coding RNA, 995 nt
Filed under: Canis lupus dingo (dingo)
Lineage: Eukaryota; Metazoa; Chordata; Mammalia; Carnivora; Canidae
Description: lncRNA (ENSCAFG00020000478.1)
Source: RNAcentral